Non-coding RNA from Triticum urartu, 133 nucleotides. The record is from Rfam. Lineage: Eukaryota; Viridiplantae; Streptophyta; Magnoliopsida; Poales; Poaceae.
AAAGUACUCCCUCCGUCCCAAAAUUAUUGUCUUUGAUUUGUCUAGAUACGGAUGUAUCAAGUCACAUUUUAAUAUUUGAAGACAUGUUCUAGUCUCUUUGAAGACAAGAAAUUUGGGACAGAGGGAGUAGUUG